UCGAGAAUCAUUCACAAUGGGCGAAAGCCUGAUGGUGCGACGCCGCGUGGAGGAUGACAGCCCUAGGGUUGUAAACUCCUGUCAUGAGAGAGUAAAGACUUACCGUUAAUACCGGUGGGUCCUGAUAGUAUCUCAAGAGGAAGGGACGGCUAACUUCGUGCCAGCAGCCGCGGUAAUACGAAGGUCCCAAGCGUUGUUCGGAAUUACUGGGCGUAAAGCGUGCGUAGGCGGCAUGGUAAGUCAGAUGUGAAAUCCCGGGGCUCAACCUCGGAACUGCAUCCGAUACUGCCAAGCUAGAGUAGUGGAGGGGAGUCUGGAAUUCACGGUGUAGCAGUGAAAUGCGUAGAUAUCGUGAGGAACACUAGUGGCGAAGGCGAGACUCUGGACACUAACUGACGCUGAGGCACGAAGGCUAGGGUAGCGAAAGGG
RNAcentral lists this ribosomal RNA (429 nucleotides) under uncultured bacterium. Its description in RNAcentral is "bacterial SSU rRNA". It matches the Rfam family "Bacterial small subunit ribosomal RNA", at positions 355 to 776 of the family's 1533-position model. The record is from RNAcentral.